GAGGUGAAGGUCCAAGGUAAAGGUUUUCAUGUUGAUAUUGUUUAAAGGUGAUAUUAUGACUUACUUGAUGUUUAUGCUUGUCUUGUAUGUCUUUUAUGCAACUGUUCAUGAUACUUCAAAAAGUGGCAUAAUGCAUGGUUUCUAGCCAAAAUGUCCCUUUUUAAAGCAUGUUUUGCAUGGUCAUCAUACUUAGUACUUAAUUGUGCUAAUUCCAUAUUUCUCUAUUUUCUACUAGUGUAGGUUCCGGAAAGUGAGCGGGUUCUAUAGUAAGCUUGGAACUUCAAGUUCUUCCAAGAUCUUGUGGGUAUGUCCUCAUAUGUCGAGGACAAGACUUUUCUAUUCUAAUUUUAUGAUAAGGUUCUUGUAAUAGACUUCUUUUGAUUGUAAAGGGCCGUGUCCCUACUUAUGUUUUGUGAUUAUGUCUAAGAUGGCCAUGUGAGACUUAGACUUCCGCUGUGUGUUUUUAAAGUUGUUUUAAUGAAGUUUGAAUUUGUGGAUGU
RNAcentral lists this long non-coding RNA (500 nucleotides) under Solanum tuberosum (potato). RNAcentral's name for it is "long non-coding RNA (STUB_LNC011549)". Lineage: Eukaryota; Viridiplantae; Streptophyta; Magnoliopsida; Solanales; Solanaceae. The record is from RNAcentral.